GGCUCUGUAGUGAAGUUCAUAGUGAGUUGCAAGCUCAUUGAUGUGCAUCAACCAUGCACCGGAGUCU
This 67-nucleotide transfer RNA is filed under the name Eophona personata. RNAcentral's name for it is "tRNA-Cys". The record is from RNAcentral. Lineage: Eukaryota; Metazoa; Chordata; Aves; Passeriformes; Fringillidae.